Non-coding RNA from Ceratotherium simum simum (southern white rhinoceros), 96 nucleotides. The record is from RefSeq and is a predicted model, not a curated record. Lineage: Eukaryota; Metazoa; Chordata; Mammalia; Perissodactyla; Rhinocerotidae.
ACAAAAGGGAUAAAGGGCCACAGAUGUAUGGUGAUGGAUAAAAAGUAGAUUAUUGGUGGUGAGCCCGACGCCGUCUAUACAGAAACUAAAAUAUAA